GGGUCGUUAGCUCGGUUGGUAGAGCAGUUGACUUUUAAUCAAUUGGUCGCAGGUUCGAAUCCUGCACGACCCACCA
RNAcentral lists this transfer RNA (76 nucleotides) under Klebsiella pneumoniae. Its description in RNAcentral is "tRNA-Lys". It matches the Rfam family "tRNA". Rfam says of the family: Transfer RNA (tRNA) molecules are approximately 80 nucleotides in length. Their secondary structure includes four short double-helical elements and three loops (D, anti-codon, and T loops). Lineage: Bacteria; Pseudomonadati; Pseudomonadota; Gammaproteobacteria; Enterobacterales; Enterobacteriaceae. RNAcentral also lists the same sequence under 1 other name. The record is from RNAcentral.